CACCGAUUUUCUUCUCCUUCACCAGUCUGUUACUCUGUUUCUUCAUGGAGCCGCCGCGUGAAACUGAUGGGAGAGACGACAGACGAAAACCCUAAGUAAUAUUUACUAUGGCUGGGCUUUAAACUUGAAAUUAUAAACAAACAACAAUCGAAAGCCCAACCCAUUUAUUAUAAUUAUUUUCUAAACCCAUUAAAACAAACUCACAUUAAAAAUUAAUAAAAUACAAUCCAAUAACUUAUAAAACACAAAGCCCAGCCCAGUUCUUUAGCAUAAAAAACCUAGAUCUAUCGUUGAUAUCUUUGCAGCCGCUUCUCCUUACAUAAAAUAAAACCCUAGAUCUUAGCGUCUCCUCUUCCAUUUGUAGCCGUUUUUUCUUCUGCCUCUCCUAGAAUAAGAUACGGCUUUGCAUCAGUGGGGAUCCUUCAAUUUUGAGAGCGUCGACUAGUCUUUAAAGGAGCCUCGCGAAUUCAUUCUGUUAGUGUAUUUCACCGUCGUCGUGUCGUUACCGUCAUCGUGUUGUCACCGUCGAGAAGCUUACAUUUACUCGAAAAGCCAAAUUUUUAAUGUAUUUGGGCCUGUUGUAAAGAUGUAAAUUUGCUAUUGGACUUGUAAUAUAUUAUAGGUUUGUUAUUUAGUUGUAAAUAUGUUAAUUGGCAUGUUUUUUUUUGG
Long non-coding RNA from Arabidopsis lyrata subsp. lyrata, 669 nucleotides. RefSeq lists it as uncharacterized. The transcript has 2 exons. The record is from RefSeq and is a predicted model, not a curated record. NCBI's taxonomy places the organism in Eukaryota, Viridiplantae, Streptophyta, Magnoliopsida, Brassicales, Brassicaceae.